Molecule: small RNA, 82 nt
Filed under: Flavobacterium noncentrifugens
Lineage: Bacteria; Pseudomonadati; Bacteroidota; Flavobacteriia; Flavobacteriales; Flavobacteriaceae
Description: Flavo-1 RNA
Rfam family: Flavo-1 RNA
Source: Rfam by way of RNAcentral
CCCUAGCCCUGAUGGCAGCGGCAUCCUUUUGCGGCGGAGCACAGCGGAGCCGGAAAAGAUAGAGCGGACAGCAGGAAUAGCU